Non-coding RNA from Onychomys torridus (southern grasshopper mouse), 408 nucleotides. The record is from the annotation of a RefSeq genome assembly. Lineage: Eukaryota; Metazoa; Chordata; Mammalia; Rodentia; Cricetidae.
AUGGCUGUCCUGGUGCUGCUCCUCUGCCUGGGGACCUCUCCAAGCUGUGCCCUGUCCCAGGUGCAGCUGAAGGAGUCAGGACCUGGUCUGGUGCAGCCCUCACAGACCCUGUCUCUCACCUGCACUGUCUCUGGGUUCUCAUUAACCAGCUAUGGUGUACACUGGGUCUUCCAGCCUCCAGGAAAGGGGCUGGAGUGUGUGGGAGCAAUGUGGAGUGGUGGAUAUACAGAGUAUAAUUCGGCUCUCAAUUCCCAGAUCCCCAUCAGUAGGGACACCUCCAAGAACCAAGUUUUCUUAAAACUGAACAAUCUGCAAACUAAGGACACAGCCAUGUAUUUCUGUGCCAGGGACAUAGUGAGGGAACUCCAGUGCGAGCCUGCACAUAAACCUUCCUAUGGAGAUGUCUGA